AGCGAACGCUGGCGGCAGGCCUAACACAUGCAAGUCGAACGAACUCUUCGGAGUUAGUGGCGGACGGGUGAGUAACACGUGGGAACGUGCCUUUAGGUUCGGAAUAACUCAGGGAAACUUGUGCUAAUACCGAAUGUGCCCUUCGGGGGAAAGAUUUAUCGCCUUUAGAGCGGCCCGCGUCUGAUUAGCUAGUUGGUGAGGUAAAGGCUCACCAAGGCGACGAUCAGUAGCUGGUCUGAGAGGAUGAUCAGCCACAGUGGGACUGAGACACGGCCCAAACUCCUACGGGAGGCAGCAGUGGGGAAUCUUGCGCAAUGGGCGAAAGCCUGACGCAGCCAUGCCGCGUGAAUGAUGAAGGUCUUAGGAUUGUAAAAUUCUUUCACCGGGGACGAUAAUGACGGUACCCGGAGAAGAAGCCCCGGCUAACUUCGUG
This 433-nucleotide ribosomal RNA is filed under the name uncultured bacterium. RNAcentral describes it as "partial 16S ribosomal RNA". It matches the Rfam family "Bacterial small subunit ribosomal RNA", at positions 29 to 507 of the family's 1533-position model. The record is from RNAcentral.